AAAACUUUCAACAACGGAUCUCUUGGUUCUGGCAUCGAUGAAGAACGCAGCGAAAUGCGAUAAGUAAUGUGAAUUGCAGAAUUCAGUGAACCAUCGAAUCUUUGAACGCACAUUGCGCCCGCCAGUAUUCUGGCGGGCAUGCCUGUCCGAGCGUCAUUU
Molecule: ribosomal RNA, 159 nt
Filed under: Scolecofusariella peltigerae
Lineage: Eukaryota; Fungi; Ascomycota; Sordariomycetes; Hypocreales; Nectriaceae
Also listed under: 1 other name
Description: Scolecofusarium ciliatum 5.8S ribosomal RNA
Rfam family: 5.8S ribosomal RNA
About the family: 5.8S ribosomal RNA (5.8S rRNA) is a component of the large subunit of the eukaryotic ribosome.
Source: RNAcentral